RNAcentral lists this ribosomal RNA (253 nucleotides) under uncultured bacterium. RNAcentral describes it as "partial 16S ribosomal RNA". It matches the Rfam family "Bacterial small subunit ribosomal RNA", at positions 524 to 776 of the family's 1533-position model. The record is from RNAcentral.
UACGAAGGGGGCUAGCGUUGCUCGGAAUCACUGGGCGUAAAGGGCUCGUAGGCGGCCAACUAAGUCAGACGUGAAAUCCCUAGGCUCAACCUAGGAACUGCGUCUGAUACUGGAUGGCUUGAAUCCGGGAGAGGGAUGCAGAAUUCCAGGUGUAGCGGUGAAAUGCGUAGAUAUCUGGAGGAAUACCGGUGGCGAAGGCGGCAUCCUGGACCGGCAUUGACGCUGAGGAGCGAAAGCCAGGGGAGCAAACGGG